UACGUAGGGUGCAAGCGUUAAUCGGAAUUACUGGGCGUAAAGCGUGCGCAGGCGGUUAUGUAAGACAGAUGUGAAAUCCCCGGGCUCAACCUGGGAACUGCAUUUGUGACUGCAUAGCUAGAGUACGGUAGAGGGGGAUGGGAAUUCCGCGUGUAGCAGUGAAAUGCGUAGAUAUGCGGAGGAACACCGAUGGCGAAGGCAAUCCCCUGGACCUGUACUGACGCUCAUGCACGAAAGGCGUGGGGAGCAAACAGG
Molecule: ribosomal RNA, 255 nt
Filed under: uncultured bacterium
Lineage: Bacteria
Description: partial 16S ribosomal RNA
Rfam family: Bacterial small subunit ribosomal RNA
Source: RNAcentral